UGCUCCCCAGACAAAACAAGCCAUUCUAACUAAAUGAAAGGUAUUUAGGAAUAUAUUAAUAAUCAAGUAACAGUUCAGUAUUUUCAUUUUCUUAAUUCCUGGAGAACCCCUUUAAGUGGACCACAGAUAUGUAUGUGUAGAUCAGUGGAAGAUCCAGCUUAUCUUAGCUGCUAGUAUUAAAGGGUUUGUCUAAAGCAAAAAAAAUAAUUAAUGCGCACUGGGAGAGUGAGGGCCCUCACCUAUUGAAAGCCACUGCAUUCCAGCAGCGCGGCUCCCCAGUGGACCAGAAGUGUAAUACUCAGGCCAUUUUUUAUUUUUUUCAUUACCCCACCACCACGACCAGUGAACAGAAAAAUACUUACCUGCUCCCUGCUGUUUUGUGUGGGCUCUGUGGCUCAUAGUUAAUAUGGUUGAAAAAAAAAGACAUAAGUCCAUCAAGUUCAACCAAGGGAAGGUCGGAUGUGAAUUUUAGAAAAGGGAGCAAGACCCAGACUUUUACACAUUUUUAAAAGGGUUUUCUGAGACUUUAUCCAGAGGAUAGGUCAUAAGUAUUAGGGGAAGGUGGGACUCC
Bufo bufo (common toad) is the source of this 571-nucleotide long non-coding RNA. RefSeq lists it as uncharacterized. The record is from RefSeq and is a predicted model, not a curated record. The transcript has 3 exons. Lineage: Eukaryota; Metazoa; Chordata; Amphibia; Anura; Bufonidae.